GAUGAACGCUGGCGGCGUGCCUAAUACAUGCAAGUCGAGCGAACAGACGAGGAGCUUGCUCCUCUGACGUUAGCGGCGGACGGGUGAGUAACACGUGGAUAACCUACCUAUAAGACUGGGAUAACUUCGGGAAACCGGAGCUAAUACCGGAUAAUAUAUUGAACCGCAUGGUUCAAUAGUGAAAGACGCUUUUGCUGUCACUUAUAGAUCGACCCGUGCCGCAUUAGCUAGUUGGUAAGGUAACGGGUUACCAAGGCGGCUAUGGGUAGACGACCUGAGCGGGGGGUAGGCGACCUGGGAAGGUGGACGCGGUCCAGACGCCUACGAGACGCAGCAGUAGCGUACCGGAGGCAACAGGCGAGAACAUGACGCAGCAGCGGCACGCGUGUUACGGAGGCCUUCGGUGAGGAAAGACCGGUUAUGAGGGGUAAACAUAUGUGUGCGGAAAAAUACACAUCUUGACGGUACCUACACAGAAAGCACCGGCUAACUACGUG
This 497-nucleotide ribosomal RNA is filed under the name uncultured bacterium. Its description in RNAcentral is "partial 16S ribosomal RNA". It matches the Rfam family "Bacterial small subunit ribosomal RNA", at positions 28 to 507 of the family's 1533-position model. The record is from RNAcentral.